AUUGAAAGUGGCUCAAAUUUAAAAUAUCUUUUCAGGACAUACAAUUUAUAUUUAUUAUAAUCUGAUUUUUUUCAGAGUUUAAAUAUACUGCAAGAGUAGAAUGAUGUCACUUGGAAAUGCAUAUCUGAUAAAGACCACUCCAGCUUAAAGUUUACUGCAGAAAGAUCCUGAGGUGGUGGAAGAAUGAUGACAUGCAAUAAGGACAAAAAGAGACAA
RNAcentral lists this long non-coding RNA (216 nucleotides) under Mytilus galloprovincialis (Mediterranean mussel). The record is from RNAcentral. Lineage: Eukaryota; Metazoa; Mollusca; Bivalvia; Mytilida; Mytilidae.